CAGGCAGCAUUCCCCUCCUGUCCCCACCUGCACAAAACCAGCUCAUACGAUGAGCCUUUAAAAGUGUGUCUGCUUGUGCAGGAGGGAUAGAGGUGACAAGUUAAAGCUUGUUGCUGUGACUGCAGAGCAUGCAGUGUCAAUAUUAACCUGCCCAGAGAAAAGACAUUCGGCCAGACUUCCCAGGAAACAUCUGCUCCUGAGUGGUCUGACUGCACCUCAACUGCCUGUUGCUUCAGAUGCAAAGAUGUCUCCUGCUGCUGCUUAUUAAAGAGGAAAAAAGAGAAAUGGAUGCUUGGGGUAUUUGAAAGGAAUUUUGAAAGACAGAAGAGAGAACAACUGCAUAGAAAUUCAGUUUAAUUUGCAGCACAGACUCUGAUGCAGAAAACUCGAAGAUUAGAGAUCCUGUUUGCCCCACACAAAUGUAAUGUGCACAGUAGCACUAAGUACAAUGAAGGUGUGAAUGAGCAGCCAGGAGCAGAGAUGGCCUAAGAUGACUUAAGCAGAACUACUGCUGAAGAUGUAACCACAGGCUCAAAGUUCAUGCUACUUCUGGUAACCAAUUCAAUUUCAGAGGCUUAUGUCCCUCCUUGUGUGAUAGCUAUGGGAAGGAAGGCCUAAUACAGCUUACUUUAAAGAUAUUGUAUACCUUAAAGAUACUGUAUACCUCAAACUUGUCAGGUUUAUGACUCUGGUUUACAUGACACGCUCGUAAGGAAGUGAGGGAAUCUAAAUGGGUCCUUCCAGACAAUGACAAACUAAUUGGAAGAAGAAAGUCAUCGAUGAUCCUUUACUACAGUAGCACACUUAGUUGAGAAGGGCCCUGCAGGGGCUCUUGAGGGUUUGGUUUCAUUCAAAAUUUACAUGAGCUGGAUGAUGCUUUUAAAAUUUUAAGUUUUGAAGAUGGGAGCCAAGCCAAUCCUGCUGAGGAAUGACUAAAACUUGAAGUAAUCUAGAUGAAACAGUCUUGAGAAAUGGGACACAGUUCAGUAGGGAUAAGCGUAAAGGUGGACGACUUGGGCAGAAAGCAGUACAAAUGUGGGUUAGAGAAUAAUACAGGUAGCUGUUCAGCAGAAAAGAAUCUGUCACUGUUGUGGCCCAGCAGCUGAACAGCAAUCAACAGUGCCAUGUGACUGCAAGGAGAAAAAGCAGGUGCUGUAGAGGGGUGUAAAAAGACACAAGUUGCACAAAAUGAGCCUUCUCGUCUCACCUUCAUCACGAAUUCCAGUUUUGGAUGCCGGUAUAAAUAAACUGCAGAGAAGAGCUAAAACAGAGCUUUAAGGGAAGAAAAAAAUGCAUAUCCGCAUGGAAAGACUGAAAUAGGCUUUCUUAACCUACAUUAGGGAAGAAUGAGAGAGGAAAUCAUAGUUCUAAAGUAUAUACCAAGUAGCUGCAAAGAGGAAGGGAUCCAUCUGAUAACUUCCUGUCCAAAUAUCAGGGACACAGUUAACAGGCAUAAACUAGCACAAGAAAGGCUUAAAUUCAUUUUUUUAAUAGUAAAGAUAGAUGGUAAAGCACUGCUAUAAAUUGCCUGGGGAGGUUGUAAAAGACCUCCAGUGAUGAAAAUCGUAAUAGCAGUUAGAUAAACAUCGGACAGGAAUGACGUCUUACCUCAGGGCGGGGGAAUGCCCUGGAUGACCUUUCAAAGUCUUUUGCAGGCUAGUUUUUCUAUUAUUCCAUAAUCAAUUGCCCAAACCUUUUGAGGAAUAGUGUUACGGCACGGCUGAACUCCAGAACCGAUACUGCUUCACAAAUAUCUUGAUCAAGGCACAGGCUGUUACUGUACACAAGUUAUAAGAGAUCUCCCUUGUGCGUGCUGAAUCACUGGCCACAUCCAGAAGCUGCACUCAUUGACACUGUGUUUUCAGUUGACAUAAGCAUUGAUGUUGCAUGCAGGCAAUUAGAGAACAAAUGUGUUAAUAGAAUGUUUUCUUUCUAGACCCAAGGGAUCCAAAAUGAGCUUGUUACUUUUUAAAGUGCUUAUAAAAGUAUCAUUUGCCUUUAGGAGCGAAGCUUAGAAAAAGAUCUGUAUCCAAAAAUACUUAUUUAUUUUGUCAUUAACUUGUUACCAUUUUAUAAAGCUCAUAAUAUCUCUAGCCAGUGGUGACCCUAUUUAAAUUUGGGAUGGGGUAGGAGGUGCUGAAUUGUCCAAGAAUUGCCACAGAUAUUUGAUUCUUGAUCUGGGCCAAACUUAUUUAAUUUUCAAGAGUGUCUGACAGCUGUGAUUUCAUUCUGUAUACAUUUUACCUUUGCUAAGAACAUUUUUGUGGCAGUUAUCUAGGAUGGAAAGGAAAAGACAGAACUGGAGAAUCCCAAAGGAUGCACUCAAAUGGACUUUAGGCAUCUGAACCUGUCACAAACCAGGCUGGAUACCUUGAGGUUCUGCAAUAUUGCCUACUUCUUCCAUCUAUACAGAACAAAGUUGCCUAGCUAUAGCUCCUGCAGUAAAUGUCUGUCACUUAUUUGGGCCAUGAUUUAUAUUUAGAGUAGACGUAGGUUUGCCAUGCCAAACUGUGAGAUGGCAUAAAUCCAUCUGAACAAUUCCCUAUGGUACUCCAAGUCAUAAAUGGGUCAAGUGCUGAAAAGAAGAGGGUUUGUAUUGAAAGCUGGCAUUUGUGGUGGUACAUGUGCUGUGAGAGGCAGUUUGCUGGAGUAUAUGGAGUCUGGCUUCUUCAUGGACUUUCUCCUAUUGUAGGAAAAAUGAAGGAUUUUACUCUUCUUAGACACACUGUAUCUUUUCUCCCCUUGCUUUUAUCUGAGGCUCUUAUGUUUAGAGGACACACAAAAACUGUAUAGGCCAACAAGAAAAAAGUUAAUAGUUUAGUGUGUACAUCCAUAGUGAACAGCUCACAAGCCGCACAUCACUAUGGAUCCACCUUGUCUUACACUGGAAACUACAGUGAAUUGAGGCAGGUUUGUGCAAACCUAAUGCUCAUUUAUCAUGUGGCAGCCUUGAUGCUGGACAAGCUACAGUAUUAAACAAACACAGAGUAUUUUCUGAGUCAAUGUCAAAACUUAGCUAGUUUAAUGAGUUUGGAUGAACAAACAAAUCCAUCUUUUAGAGCUGGCAGAACAGGCACUGCAUAGGAAGUUGUUUGUGCUGAUGCUGUUGAAAUGGCAAAGAUGCCUGAUAUGCCUGGUGCAAGAGUCUGAAACUGUUACAUGAGAAAGCUGCUAUCACUAGACUUCCAAGAAAAAGACAGUUACCACGCUGACUUUGAGAUGAGCCUGUUCUUCUGAUGAUAGCUGCAGGAAACCAAGAUGUGGCUUUUCUCCUCGAUUCGAAUAGGCUCCUGAACACUGAGUUGGAGUUUGUAUGCCCCUCUCUGUUUCAAAUUGAGGAAAAGAAUUUUCUGUAGCAGAAAACUGCAUGUUUGAGUCCUAGUAGUGUAGGAGCUUCCACAAAACAGGCUGCGCGCCUAAUACAGUCUGAAACCAUGUGUUGUCUCCUACCUUGCAUUGACCAAAAGCACAGUGGGUGCAACACUGGUGAUGAGAAAUGGUCCUUGCAAAUAGUUACAAACUAGCAUUGCGUCUUCCUCCCCCCCAAGCUGUUAGUAGAGUUAAUGAUUUUCUUCUAAAGGACAGUAACGGUUACAAGGACCAGACCCUUAGCUAGCAUAAGCAGCUGUGAAGCUUAAACCAGCAGAAGAAGUGAGCCUUGCAAUAAGGUGUGGUAUUUUUUCUACAGCAGAUAUUAAGAUUUGCUGUUGAGCAGAACUCCCAUGGAGCGCAGCAAGGGGCUGUGAUUCAGGGAUGACCCAAUGAGCAGCAUAUUCCUUAUGUGACUAAAGAGGCAAGACAUGUGCCAUCAUUAGAGAAGGAGGUGCAGCUGAGAAGUGGGAGAUGGCAAGGUCCUAAGCUUCUGCAGAGUGGGCUUCGCUGUAGCUGAGUCCUGGCAUGAUGCAGCAGUGGUGGCUCUGUUUGUCUUUUUCCUAAAGCUGGGGAUUUAGGUUAAAACACAACAUCUGUGUCAGCAAAGUCCUGCCACCAGUCAUGAGAUAGAGCCCCUACACAGAGAUCCUGCUUGAACUUCUGGGAAACCAUAGGUUGUCCUCCUCUCUCUGUGUCUGCUGAUGCUGUAGCACGCAGCCUUUUCUACUGAUCUCAGUUCUGCAGUUUCUCCCCUACUGCCUUCUGCCACUUUCCAUUCUUUCUCUGCUUGUAAGAUUUUUUUUUUAACCCUUAAGGCAUAUGGAUGAAAUCUCUGUGGAUGAGAAUAGGACACCUCUGUUCAAAUAGAGCAGGGCUUUGUUAUAAAGGUUUUAAGACACUCCUGACAUGAGUAGAAAUGCUUAUGGCUUUUGAACCUGGCUAAGGGUUUGAAACUCUGCUCUUCAAAGGCUUGUGAUGCUCUUUAUUUUCAUAUUCGGUCUCAGUACCACUGCCAAGAGGCACUGAAAUUCAGGGGGAAGUUCCCUGUGCUAUUGUCAUUCUCCAGUAUCAGCCUUUAUUGCCUUCCUCUGAAUUUUGCUUACUUGAUGGAGUGCACGAUUAGACCUAUGUGGGGCAUCGUGUGUUUCAUUAUGAAAUCCACAAAGGGGGUGGAAUCAACCAAUAAUAAACACAGCUGAGCAAGAUUUCAAAUGCACAGCACAUGUUUUCUGCUUUACAGAUCUCUGCAGCAUUCUGAGCCUUUGGCAGAUGCACCAGAAACUACCCAAGUUUGUGUACCCCACUGUGAUAUGGGUAGAUAGACUGGGAAGAGAUUUCUAAUGAUACCAGUGCAGUAGUGGGAUUGCUAAUGUGUAUAUCUAAUAUUUAAUUGGAAAAGGGAAAAAUAGUUCUGUAACUAUCUUUUUCAAAAUAUAUGCAUUCUUACUGUUCAGCAGGUAUAUUUGAUGCAAAUCACUCUUGAGAUCAGCAGAUUUUGAGAUGUACCUGGCCCUACUGCAAAUAGCUUACGCACAAUGUGGUUUUAAAAAGCUAUUACUAAACUGCAGAUUAGCGUUGGUACAUCUUGUUUAUUCUGUAUGUGUUUUUUCUGGCAGAGAGAGGAAUUGGACUUGUAUCUAAAACCUCAUUUAUAAAGCAUGGCUAUAUUACUAUUUUUAUUAUUAUACUUAUUAUUUCCUUGUCUGUAGAUGCCAAUAUUCAGGAGCAGUUAAUAACUAUCUGGAAAAAAAAAUCCAAACCAUUGAUAUGUUUCAAACUCCAGACGAGUGUCAUGGAAGUAAAUGCAUGUUUAGUGGAACAAAACAAAAAGAAGCUCUCCCCCUUGCCCCACAACCUCUUUCCCCCCGCCCCCCCAUUCCACCCUCCCCGAGAACUGGGGAUAUUUUCUGUGAAAAUGAAACACUUUCUUAGAGACCUUGUGAGUAUUCUAGUUGACCAGCAUGGAGACAGAUGAACAUUAAGGUACCACUCAUGCUAAAUUUGAUAAAUGCAAGUAGUUCCACUGACCUCUAUAGGACUGUUCCUGUGCUGAGAAUUCUCCAUACAUAUUUUUGGUCAAGCACUCACCAGUUGCCCAUUGGUAGUCUGGAACACCAUAGUAAUUGCUACAGGAGAAACAGAAGGGCAAAGACAGUAUCUACAGCUAAGAAACAGCCCAAGAUAAAUUCCUGAAAAGUCUUUUUCAAAAUACAUGUACAAGAUUGUAGCACCUAGCACUGCUCCCCUCCGCCCAUGUUGAGGGAUUUAUCUGUUGCUUUUCAAGCUUUUUACAGAUGACUCAGUGACAUGCUCUAGAGAUACAUUUCAAAAAUAACAAUAGUUGUGAAUGGAUGCUGCUGUGAUGUGAUGCAGGACACAGUACCACAGCUAUAACUGUUCUCAGUGUGGUGUAGGGCAGCACAGUUUCGGUACAUCAGUGUUGCACUCAGUUGCACACAACUUGCACCUCAGACCUGCAAGCUGGAGGAAGCCUGAGGCUGCUGAGUUCACAACUUGUAGAUUCAGAGCAUGGAAAAAAAUAUUUCAUUAUAUAUAAAGAUAAUGCAAUGCAAUUUUCCAUCUAGGCUUUUCUGCUUAUAAAAGGGAGAGUGCAAAAAAAACCAACCAACCAACCAAACAAAAAAACCCCCAAAUCAUCCCUUGCUGGAAAUAAUUACCUCUAAAUUUGGACACACAAUGAAAAGUCUGACCAAGAAUUUCACUUUAUUUAAACUUAAGUUACUUUUCUUUGUAGUGUUGGUGGUUUAUCUAAAGUGUUUCACCACUCACUGGAUUCCUAUGGCUGAGAAUAAGUUGAUAAAAUUGCAGAUUAGUGAUUGUAUAUGUAUAAAAUGAUGUAUGCACGUGCAUGUUUGUGCGCACGUGCACACACUCAAAACAAGUUUCAUACAGCCAGUUCUUCAAAUAAUUUGCACAUGGAUUUUGUUUCUCACUUUACCAUAGUUAUCAGACUGGUCUGUCAGAUUUGUCAGGCUGCUGUUUACAAAUGAGCACUUUGUUGUGACAUCCAGAUUUAUAGUUGUGAUCCUUUCAUUUUCAAAUGUUGCCCAAAGCCAAACUAAAGAUGAAGAAACUACACAGCUGCUCGUAUUCAAGUGUGUACCUUUCCUAGCCUGUGUUAGAAAGACCAUCAAGUGUCAUAACAACAGCACUCAAACACUUUCACGUUACAAAGCAAGUGUCAUGCCGUUGUGUAUGUUGCUAACAUUACAGUUUUAAAGCCCUUUUGGUAAAUCUCUGCCUCCCUCUUCCCUCUCUUCAUUGAUAACUACUUCUUUGUGAAGGUGUGGAUUUACUGCAUUUCUGUUAGCUUCUUGUGUUACAGCUGACGUGCCUCUGCUGUGUGGCACGGUUUUGACAGUAAUUAAAAGCAAGUCCUGCAUCUGAUUUACUCUCCCCCGAUAGAUUUACACUGAGGAUGCAGUGGGAAGUCAGGAGCAGGAGAGCUUUGAGGAUAGCGAAAGCAGAGCUGUGGGUAUUGGAGACCAAUAGAAAGGAAGCUCAGGGAUAAAAUUUCCCCUAAGUGUCUCUGGCAAACAGAGACACUGACAGAAAUGCAGUUUGUUCUUUACUCAUAACUUGUGGGUUAUGAAUGUUGAAAACAAUGCACAGAAUACUUCUAAUUUUUUUGUGCUUAAAAGCUAUAGAAGGUCAGGAUAAUAAUGAUGCUCACGUGGACUUAUUGGACUGGCUAUCACCAAGAUGCCAACAGGACUCCGUUAAUGACAGGUGACUGGCAAUGAUCCUGCCUUCUGCGGGUACCAAGGACUCGUUCCAGUUCUUGUGCUGUUUGCUGGGAAUCUCAACAAAAAAGGAUUACAGCUGGAACAGGUUAUGAGGCUUUCUACAAUACGGGCCCUUGUCCUGUUGGAGCGGUGUUGAGAGGGCUCGCUUUAGGAAGACAGUGCUUCUACUUUUCCUUCCCUUCAGUUCUUGAAUGUGAGGUCACAGUCUGUCCCUCUGCAUUUAACUCAUGGGAACGAUCAAUGCGGUACUGAAAAUUUUUAUUUCAAUGGUGUUGCCUGUGUGUGUCUUCACAAGAUUGGGGCUUCAACAUUUUGGCUGUCCAUUCUCCAAAAGCGGAAUUUUUAUUUUCGAAGCAAGAUAAAUGAGGAGGGCCACAGAUGCAGACCUGAAUGAUGGUGCUCUUACAUGCAGAGGCAGUUGCAACAAAAAAGAUUGUCAGGAUCAAAGCAACAAAAGGCUAAAUUUAAAUCUGCAUUACCUUAUUCAAAUGGGUUUUGAAACUUUUACCAGCAGCUUUGAAAUGUUUCCAGUGGGCUGUUCAUAAUAAUAACAAACAACAAUUUCUCACUGAAAGUUCAUAUAAAUAAUAAUAAGCCCCUCAAGUCUGAGUCCAGCAUUUUUCCCCCUCUCUUGGCAGCAGCAAACACACUAUCUGCUUUCUUACCAAUAACUGUGCGUCUUCACACCUUUUUGUUGCACGGUUUCUCAUUAAUGAUCUCUUGCAGGCUUCAGUCUUCUAUUCUGAGAAAACAGAGAGCCUUGAAGGUAAUUAUUUUAUUAAAUAUAUGCAAAAAUGUGGUAGGUCAGCUCUGUGGCACACCACCCUCAACAGUCUCUCCUGACACUUCCCUUCGCUUUAAAAGUAGAAGUAUUUGGCAUUGUGGUAAGAGAAUGAGUGAGAGAGUGAAGAGAGGACAUUUUCUGAGGUGAAGUCAGGGCCAUGUGUGCUCAGUAUGGUGGGAGGAUAGAUGCUGAUUCUGGAUGUUUAAGAUUAUAAAAGCCAGCAGCCAAGGCUGAGGUGACUUAACUGUGGCAGACAGGCUAGUUAGAGCUGUUUCCAUGGUACUUUGAAGAAAUUUCUAAAGAAAGUGUAUGGAUAUUGAUUUUUUUUUUCCUUACCUGCGUGCUGCCAGAAAAGAUGUGGAUAUCUUGGCUGAUGGCCUGUAGAUCUCAGAGAGAGUGAGAGCACAUACUAUGAAGAUCAUACCAAAUGCAUGAAGUUUGCAUCUUAAUUUCUUUUUUGAUGUAUCAUACAUCCUGUACUUCUGGAGUCUAUCAGCUGAAAUUACAAUAAUGCAAAAUGUCCCUCUCCUUUGUUUCUUAUGAUGUUUUACGUACAUAAAACAUAUGUGAUGCUGGUGUUGGCCAACAUUGCUUGUGAUUUACUUGUUCCCCAUAAAAAGAGGCAAAAGUAAGAGCCAGUCUCCCCUAAGAAGUCUUUAACUAAGGCAGUCUGAAGUGUCCAGUCAGCAAGUGGUUCCUGCGGGUUCUGCCCACUUGCAUGUGUCUGAUGCUGUCAGGCAGUCCUUACGAGCUCGUAGCAGACAUCCAUCUGUCAGCUGAACCGUGUGUUUGCUGGAUGAAUUCUGAAUCUUCAAGAUCUGCUGAGUGAACCGGGUCAUUAAAACUUGGUGAACUUUUUGCAUCAGGGCUUUGGCUUCUUUUGGACGCUCUUUACAUUUGUGUCUAUUUUAUGACCCUCAAACGGUCUGCUCAGUCAAACUCUGUCCUUGAGCUAGGCUUGAGAAACUUCAGGCAGUGUUUCCAAGUGUUCAUCAUCCCCAGGAAGAGCUAUUUAUUUUUGAUGGUCUCUCUGACAUGCUGUAAAUGCAUGUAGAAAAAGAAAAUGAAGUGGGCAUUUUGAGAUGUUUAGAAGCUUAAGGAAAAACUGCAGAUUUCUUGAAACAGUAUAGAAAAAUAUUUUUCAACAGUGUAUCUCCCAGUAAGAUAGCUGCCAAUGGCAGCUGUUUCCUCAUACCACAAUAGAAAAAAAUCAUGUUCCCUUAAUGCAGGGUGUGAUCUUAAAUGGCUUUGGAGUCGGUCACUCUGAGGCUUCUGUUUAAUUUCAGAACCAGGAUCUCCAGUCUAUGGGUAAUUGCAACUUCCCUGUCAGUUCAGGUGACAUGAGGGAUUCCCCUUACUUCCUGCACAGGAAAAGGAAGAGGGCAGAAUCAGACCAGUUCCUAGUAAAAGGAAAGAAAAUUGUCAAUUAGGUGCCAAGGGACAAGCCAUUCAGAGCACGUCUACCAGCUGUUGUUGGGGAAAUACAAUAGAAAAGUGAAUCAGGACAGGCGAUGACCCUGACUCAGAUUUUAAAUGAAAUUUAGGCGUCAUUUAAAGCUGCAAGGCCCAAAUGACUCAAGGGUCUGUGUUGUUUUGGAACAGAUUUAUACUUCUGAGUGUGAAAUGCAUGUCUGCACCAUGUGAAAGACAGUGGUGAAAAGAAGCUCAUGUUAGUGGAGAUGAUAUUGGAAAUGGAAAAUAUGUAGCUGGAUUAAUAUGGUGCUACAGUUGAUCAUGUAGGACCUGCUAAAGCACUGUACGAAUGCAGCUGCGCUGGUUCUUGGAUUUAACUCUUUAUGGAGCUGUGCUGCGUGGAGGCUCUAGUUUGAGCUGGUGCAACCUCAGAUGUUUGGAGCUGCAAUGUGAUUACCUUACAGUGGUUUUCUAAGAUGCUUCUGGAAAAUAGUGUUCCUUUUCCUCCUUUAUUUAGACCUCAUUGCAAUGCCACUGGAAGCAUUGCUUGUGUAUUUUAUAAUCUGUACCAAAUGAUCUUUUAGUUUGGGGCACUCUACCUCCUAUGUUUUAACAUGUUUUUAACUUGGGGACCAAACUGAGCCAGAUAAAAGUUCUUAGCUAUAUAAUUUGUUAUGUAGUCCUUGUUGCUGGGGUUUUCUAAUAUUGCUCGCUUUUGAAUUUAAUCUUGCUGACAGAAGCUAUUAUAUUACAGGAAUAAAUUACUCUCAAAGGAUGAUAACUGUUAAUGUUUCCACCAUUACCUUCCUAUGGUGGAGGGUAGAAGCUAUGUUUUUGCUCUAAAAUGAGGGAUGUGUGUUUUUUUUCACAUCAGAAUAUUGAUCUUGAGAUAACUAGCCCACUGUAAAAACAGAACAAAACAGAAAAUCACUCCUUUCCUCCCCCUGCCAAAAAAAUCCCCUCCUAUUCCUCCCCCUCCUCCUCCUCAGCAGUGUGAUGACAGUUUGUAAGUCUGACUGUAAUUAUGCAUGCUGAGAUAAAAAUAAACCAUACUUCAUUUCUGUUA
Long non-coding RNA from Dromaius novaehollandiae (emu), 10402 nucleotides. RefSeq lists it as uncharacterized. NCBI's taxonomy places the organism in Eukaryota, Metazoa, Chordata, Aves, Casuariiformes, Dromaiidae. The transcript has 4 exons. The record is from RefSeq and is a predicted model, not a curated record.